GAGAUUUGGAGGCCGUUGGUAGGGGCGGGUUGAGUUGCCGAUGUUGGUGGAGCAGGGAGGGGAUAUGUAUGUGAGUGUGGCCUAGCAAGGCCGAGAGGGGUAGAAGGGUGCAUGAGUCACGGAUGGUGGUGACGGGAGGUGGAAAUGUUUGUGUGUGUGCGUGGCCCAACGAGGUCGAGAGAUGGAGGAGUGAGUAUGAGUCGCCGAUGUUGGUGACGCGAGAGGAUGGUAUUUGUGUGUGUGUGUGGCCUCUUUAGGUCGAGAGGUGGAGGAGUGAGUAUGAGUCGCCGAUGUUGGUGACGCAAGACGAUGGUAUUUGUGUGUGUGUGUGGCCUCUUUAGGUCGAGAGGUGGAGGAGUGAGUAUGAGUCGCCGAUGUUGGUGACGCGAGAUGAUGGCAUUUGUGUGUGUGUGUGGCCUCUUUAGGUCGAGAGGUGGAGGAGUGAGUGUGAGUCGCCGAUGUUGGUGACGCGGAAUAAUGGUGUGUGGGUGUGUGCGUGGCCUAUUAGGUCGAGAGGUGGAGAUAUAGGUGUGAGUCGCCGAUAUUGGUGACGUGGAAUGAAGGUGGUUGGGUGUGUGUGUGUGUGGCCUCGUGAGGUCGGGAGAUGGGGGAAGAGUGUAUGAGUCGCCGAUGUUGGUGACGAGAGUUAGUGGAUGAUUGUUGGGUGGGGGGGGGGGGGUUGUUUGGCCGUGCUAUUGCCUUGGAAUGGGACCUUGAUAAUUAGUGUAGGGAGAGGGUUAUGAGUUGUUUGGGGUUGGGUAGGAUAAAUGCAUAUAGACAUUUCUGGAAAUUCUUGUCACUGCAUAUUACACUUACAACUUGAUUUUUAUCGUAUUGAGUUAUGUGAACUCACUUCUCAUCAUUCACAGGUGGAGUAAGGACGGAAUUGGGAUCCGAGCGGCUGGUAACGGAGCCCCGUCGAUAGUGCCAUAGGGCACAAGUUUUGUUUGUGAUUUAAAGUAGUUUGAGAGGAUGGUUUAGUCUGGAUAUUGAAUAUCUAGGAAUGUUUGAUAUUGUAUUACUAUGUGUUGUAGAGGUGGAGAUGUAUGUACAAUUGAUUUGGAACAUGGAAGGUGGAUAUCUCUUGUGCAUGGUUGGAAUAAUAUGAAUUUCGGUAUUGUGUUGUAUGGGUGCUUUAUCGUACACCGUUAAGAAAAAAAAAAACGGGGUGUUACAACUUAACUAGCUCAUAUAUACAUAUAUAUAUAUAUAUUUCCUUUUUAAAAGGAAUGAGUUAGAAAACUAAAAUUUGAAAAAAUAUAUAUAUAUAUGUUUGGUGGCUUUGUCAUACAUAAUACAAAUUGAACAUUUUUAAAAGACUGCAAGACGUAAGCAGCACAUUGUGCCCAAGCAUGGCAGAAAUAGAAUUUUGCAAGAAAUAGAAGUCUUCUUUACUAACUUUUUCAAUUGAUGUGCUAAAUUGUCCUUCUUUUUGUUUCCAAAUUCGUAUUCCAAUUUUCUUCAGCCAUUUUAUUAUUAUUAUAAAAAUGAAAAUAUUACAAACAUCAAUAACUUAGUUAACAU
RNAcentral lists this long non-coding RNA (1524 nucleotides) under Carica papaya (papaya). RNAcentral's name for it is "long non-coding RNA (CPAP_LNC000229)". The record is from RNAcentral. Lineage: Eukaryota; Viridiplantae; Streptophyta; Magnoliopsida; Brassicales; Caricaceae.